This 405-nucleotide ribosomal RNA is filed under the name uncultured bacterium. Its description in RNAcentral is "bacterial SSU rRNA". It matches the Rfam family "Bacterial small subunit ribosomal RNA", at positions 355 to 776 of the family's 1533-position model. RNAcentral also lists the same sequence under 1 other name. The record is from RNAcentral.
UGGGGAAUAUUGGUCAAUGGGCGAAAGCCUGAACCAGCAACGCCGCGUGAAGGAAGAAGGCCUUCGGGUUGUAAACUUUUGUCUUCAGGGACGAAUUUUGACGGUACCUGAGGAGGAAGCCACGGCUAACUACGUGCCAGCAGCCGCGGUAAUACGUAGGUGGCAAGCGUUGUCCGGAAUUACUGGGUGUAAAGGGUGCGUAGGCGGGCUGUAAAGUCAGAUGUGAAACUCCGGGGCUCAACUCCGGAACUGCAUUUGAAACUUACGGUCUUGAGUGAAGUAGAGGUAAGCGGAAUUCCCAGUGUAGCGGUGAAAUGCGUAGAUAUUGGGAGGAACACCAGUGGCGAAGGCGGCUUACUGGGCUUUAACUGACGCUGAGGCACGAAAGCAUGGGGAGCAAACAGG